CCUACGGGUGGCAGCAGUGAGGAAUAUUGGUCAAUGGACGCGAGCCUGAACCAGCCAAGUCGCGUGCAGGAUGACGGCCCUACGAGUUGUAAACUUCUUUUGUAAAAGGGUAAAGUGAGACACGUGUGCCUUUCUGUAUGUACUUUAUGAAUAAGGAUCGGCUAACUCCGUGCCAGCAGCCGCGGUAAUCCGGAGGAUCCAAGCGUUAUCCGGAUUUAUUGGGUUUAAAGGGAGCGUAGGUGGGUUGUUAAGUCAGUGGUGAAAGUUUGAGGCUCAACCUUAAAAUUGCAAUUGAUACUGGUAGGCUGGAGUGUAGUUGAGGUAGGCGGAAUGUGUGGUGUAGCGGUGAAAUGCUUAGAGAUCAUGAAGAACACCGAUUGCGAAGGCAGCUUACCAAGCUGCUACUGACAUUGAGGCUCGAAAGUGUGGGUAGCAAACAGGAUUAGAUACCCCAGUAGUC
Molecule: ribosomal RNA, 460 nt
Filed under: uncultured bacterium
Lineage: Bacteria
Description: partial 16S ribosomal RNA
Rfam family: Bacterial small subunit ribosomal RNA
Source: RNAcentral